Molecule: ribosomal RNA, 461 nt
Filed under: uncultured ammonia-oxidizing beta proteobacterium
Lineage: Bacteria; Pseudomonadati; Pseudomonadota; Betaproteobacteria
Description: bacterial SSU rRNA
Rfam family: Bacterial small subunit ribosomal RNA
Source: RNAcentral
AAGCAGGGGAUCGUAAGACCUUGCGCUUUUGGAGUGGCCGAUGCCUGAUUAGCUAGUUGGUGGGGUAAGGGCCUACCAAGGCGACGAUCAGUAGUUGGUCUGAGAGGACGACCAGCCACACUGGGACUGAGACACGGCCCAGACUCCUACGGGAGGCAGCAGUGGGGAAUUUUGGACAAUGGGCGAAAGCCUGAUCCAGCAAUGCCGCGUGAGUGAAGAAGGCCUUCGGGUUGUAAAGCUCUUUCAGUCGAGAAGAAAAGGUUGCGACUAAUAAUCGCAACUUAUGACGGUAUCGACAGAAGAAGCACCGGCUAACUACGUGCCAGCAGCCGCGGUAAUACGUAGGGUGCGAGCGUUAAUCGGAAUUACUGGGCGUAAAGGGUGCGCAGGCGGCUCUGUAAGUCAGAUGUGAAAUCCCCGGGCUUAACCUGGGAAUUGCGUUUGAAACUACAAAGCUUAGA